This 441-nucleotide ribosomal RNA is filed under the name uncultured bacterium. Its description in RNAcentral is "bacterial SSU rRNA". It matches the Rfam family "Bacterial small subunit ribosomal RNA", at positions 355 to 786 of the family's 1533-position model. The record is from RNAcentral.
UGGGGAAUAUUGCGCAAUGGGCGAAAGCCUGACGCAGCGACGCCGCGUGAGGGAUGAAGGUCCUCGGAUCGUAAACCUCUGUCAGGGGGGAAGAAGCGCCUGUGAGCAAAUAGUUCAUGGGUUUGACGGUACCCCCAAAGGAAGCACCGGCUAACUCCGUGCCAGCAGCCGCGGUAAUACGGAGGGUGCGAGCGUUAAUCGGAAUCACUGGGCGUAAGGCGCACGUAGGUGGCGUGGUAAGUCGGGGGUGAAAUCCCACAGCUCAACUGUGGAACUGCCUUCGAUACUGUCAUGCUUGAGUAUCGGAGAGGGUGGCGGAAUUCCAGGUGUAGGAGUGAAAUCCGUAGAUAUCUGGAAGAACACCGGUGGCGAAGGCGGCCACCUGGACGAAAACUGACGCUGAGGUGCGAAAGCGUGGGGUAGCAAACAGGAUUAGAUACC